Trichinella papuae is the source of this 2606-nucleotide ribosomal RNA. It matches the Rfam family "Eukaryotic large subunit ribosomal RNA", at positions 24 to 1888 of the family's 3401-position model. The record is from Rfam. NCBI's taxonomy places the organism in Eukaryota, Metazoa, Nematoda, Enoplea, Trichinellida, Trichinellidae.
CCCGCUAAAUUUAAGCAUAUCAAUAAGCGGUGGAAAAGAAACGAAAACGAAUUCUCCGAGUAGCGGCGAGCGAAACGAGAAAAGUCCAUACACCGAAGUCGGCGAGCAGUGCUGUUCGUCAACAGUGUGGUGUUAAAGGUGUCGUUGCAUGUGCUGAAAUCAGUUCGUAGGCUCCCUUGAUUGGGGCUUCAGAGCGGGUGCAGGACCCAUAACGAACGAUUUUUUGUGCAUGGUGUCGCGGCGCUAUGUCGAGUCGGGUUGCUUGAGACUGCAGCCCAAAGCGGGUGGUAAAUCUCACCCAAGACUAAAUAUUCGUACGAGACCGAUAGCGAACAAGUACCGCGAGGGAAAGUUGAAAAGAACUCUGAAGAGAGAGUUCAACAGGACGUGAAACCGUUGACAGGCAAACGGAUGGAGCUGACGGUGGAAAUUUGACCAAAAUCAGUCGUUGCUUGGUUUGUUGGCGAAUGAAUCUUUUGUGCGAGCUUUUGUUUGCGGAGAUGCGCGUUUGUUUCGAAUCAACGCACGGUGCACUUUUGGUCAAUCAGCGUCACGAGCAACGUUCGAUUUGUUCUGUGUGCCGACAGUGCUGCUGUUUGUUGCUCUUCAAAAAGCAACAAACAAUAAAGGCGGUGUUUUCUUGGAAGAGGUAGUGAAUGAUUGCGCUUUUUUGGUGCUUUUUCUCAUUGCCGUGCCAGUGCCGCAGCUGUCGGAUGAAUGUUGUCAUUUCAAAGUUGAAAAACAUUGUUUCGCGUUGUGUUGCAUUGGGUCUGUUGGUGCCGUUGCGUUCGUGUGUUUCGGCAUGCGAUUGAACUGGUUGGUCGGGAAAAAAGUCAAUUAUGAAUGUAAUUGAUCUGACUGCCGUGCGUGAUGGUAUUCUCUCUCAUGUGUUUGAUGGACUUUAUUUGCAACCAAACGCUCGAUGUUUUUUUACAUCUGUGGCGUCAAUGUUAGCCUCCCAUCCGACCCGUCUUGAAACACGGACCAAGGAGUUCAGUAGGCACGCGAGUCGUUGACGUUGUGCAUUGAACAGUCGAAGGCGUAAUGAAAGUGUGCAAGAAAGUGAAUUGUACAUUUUUUUGUACUGUUUGCUUUCAGCAUGAUCGUCCUUUGUUUUGUUUGGGUGCUGCUUGAAUUUUUUCGGGCCACCUUUCUUAAUUUGGGGACGCGCAGUGUGGUGCCGUUGAAUAGUCGCACUGUUUCUCCUUCUCUUCGGGGUUGGAGGGACAAUUGUCGAUCAGUCGGUUUCGGAGCGUGCACACUGGUACCCGAAAGAUGGUGAACUAUGCUUGAGCAGAAUGAAGCCAGAGGAAACUCUGGUGGAAGUUCGUAGCGGUGUUGACGUGCAAAUCACUCGUCUGACUUGAGUGUAGGGGCGAAAGACUAAUCGAACCAUCUAGUUGCUGGUUCCUUCCGAAGUUUCCCUCAGGAUAGCUGGCAUUUGUGUGUAACAAUUUUAUCCGGUAGAGCGAAUGAUUAGAGGUGUUGGGAACGCAAUGUUCUCAGCCUAUUCUCAAACUUCGAAUGGGUAAGCAAGGCGAUUUGCUUUGAAAUCUUGUGUUGAAAUCGCCCAUCCAAUUUGUUGAAGAAUGUAUAAAUGCCUAGUGGGCCAAUUUUGGUAAGCAGAACUGGCGAUGUGGAAUGAACCAAAAGUCAGGUUAAGGUGCCAGACAUUGGCGCUCAUGAAAUACCAGAAAAGGUGUUGGUCGAUAUAGACAGCAGGACGGUGGCCAUGGAAGUCGGAAUCCGCCAAGGAGUGUGUAACAACUCACCUGCCGAAUCGACUAGCCCUGAAAAUGGAUAGCGUUUGAGCGCCAGGCCCAUACCUGACCGUCUCAGCUACGCACUUUCGUUGCCGGUUUCUCUCCGGUGAAGGUGUAAUGAACGUUGAGACGGGUAGGAAGGUCGCGACAGUGUUGCUUUGAAGAGUUUUGAGCGUGAGCUCGCUCGGAGCCGCUGUUGGUGCAGAUCUUGGUGGUAGUAGCAAAUAUUCAAGUGAGAACCUUGAAGGCUGAAGUGGAGCAAGGUUCCAUGUGAACAGCAGUUGGACAUGGGUCAGUCGAUCCUAAGAAAACGGCGAAAGCUUGUUCGAAUUUACGACAUAAAAUUUAAAACUGUGUGUGUGUGCAAAAGAAAGUAGUGUAGUGUUUCAAUAGCAGUAGUGGUGGUGGUGGUGUGCCGUCGCCGAAACUACUUUUGCUGUUGUUGCGUUGCUACUACUAUCUUAAUAUUUUUGUUCUGUGUGCAGUUGUCGUAUGUUUUCGAAAGGGAAUCCGGUUGAUAUUCCGGAACCGAGUAACGGAGACAAAGAGUAGCGCUUUAAUCUCUUUCGGGUUGGCGUUCAACUCAAUCGCGCGGUAACGCAAGCGAACUCGGAAAAUGACCGUCGUGAGUUUCGAAAAGAGUUUUCUUUUCUUUUUAAGGGACGCAUUCCCUGGAACCGGGUUGUCCGGAGAUAGGGAUUCUGGUAUCCAUAAAACGCCGACUCUUUCACGGUGUUCGGAGCGCUCUCGUCGGUACGUGAAAAUCCGAGCGACGCCUGGUAAAUCUCGUACUUGGUCGUACUGAUAUCCGCAGCAGGUCUCCAAGGUGAAUAGCCUCUGGCC